This 307-nucleotide unclassified non-coding RNA is filed under the name uncultured fungus. RNAcentral's name for it is "sequence contains ITS1". The stretch from base 1 to 105 matches the Rfam family "5.8S ribosomal RNA", at positions 50 to 154 of the family's 154-position model. Lineage: Eukaryota; Fungi. The record is from RNAcentral.
AAAAUGCGUUACCUAGUGUGACAUGCAUACACUCGUGAAUCACCGACAUCUUGAACGUAACUGACAAAGCUAGCUUACGCUUGCUUUAAUCACGGUCGAGUGUCAAUAAUUAAACCACAAAAGUGAGCGUUCGAUCUAACCCGUCGUCGCUUUAAAUUUAACCGUUAUAUACUGUAUGGGCUAAAAUUACCCCCAUAACAAACACCAGUAUGUAUUCGGGAUUGUUAAACCCGUGUAUUCGGGUGAAAAUUAUUGAUUCUUCGGAUAAAUUUGACCUCGGCCGUGAUAGACUACCCGCUGAAUUUAA